CAUCACUUUGCAGCAGAGAAAAUUCUGCCCACGCUUCCCUCCCAAGAAGGACACCCAGGCCCCCUCUCUGCCCCAGGGCGGAAAAGCCCAGUGCUCCACCUCCAGCCCCGCAGGCCUCCACACUCACGCCCCAGAGGUUUCCCUGGUCCCUCCCGCUCCCAGUGGCAACCAGACUUGUGCACAGAGGAGAGAUGCUCAUGCCGGCAGGCGGCCCCCACCUCCGCAUGACCGCCUCCUCCUCUGGGCCACCGGCGGGGUUCCUAGGGCAGUCCCCUGCCCCAGACCUGGCCCAGUGGAUUCCCAAGCAGCCAAUUGGGGUGUCUGUCUGCAGGGCCCGCCCCCGGACAUCUGCUUGCCAAAAGGAGCCGGACCAGCCCCCGGGAGGGCCCAGAGCUCGGCAGGGCUGGGGUUAGUAGGAAGAGAAAACAGGAUUAGUAGAGGCUGGGUUAGUAAGUCAGAGCACACACCAGCGGACAGGGCACCUCAGCAGACACACGCGGGAGUCACUAGGAGAGAAGGAAGAGCACACGCAGAGAAGGGGCCAUGUGAGGACACGGUAGGAAGGUGCCACCUGCAGCCAAGGAGAGAGGCCUCAGCGGAAACCACCCCUGGCAUCUUGAUCAUGGACCUCCAGCCUCCAGAACUGCAAGAAAAUGCCUUUCUGCUUUUGAAGCCCCCCGGUCUGGGGUAUUCUGUGAUGGCAGCCAAGCCGACUCAUGCAGGCCCCCUCCCCUGCCAGGAAAAUGAUGAGGGGCUUUGAAGAAAGGCUGAGGCUGCUCCAGGACAAGCACUGGGACCGGCCCCCUGGAGGGAUUGGCCUAAGGGGAGACCCGGAAGGGGCCGGAAGUGAGUCUGCAGCCGUGUGAUGGGGAGGCUGCAUGUGGCUGGGCCCGCCUGCCUGCCUUUGCUGCCCAAGGACACAAUUGGAGAUUGGUGCAACAAGGAGCAGGGGGCUGACAUCAGGCUGGGGGGACCCCUCAAGCCUUGGGGCCAGGGGGGUUCUAGCCCAUUCUCUUUGGACGGUGGGAACAAAGCCCAGUGUCUGUCUCCUUCUGGCGACCUCCCCUGGCCUAGGUCCCCUCAUCUCUAGGAAACUCUCCCCCUUCAAGGCGGCACACCCUCUCCCCUCCAGCUGCCCCUCCCAGAGCUCGGCGACACGGAGGAAGGCCCCCGCUCCCCCGACCCUGCCUGCCUCCUCCCUGUGACCAUCAGGAAGAGGAGAAGCACAGAGAAGCCCCAUCCAAAAGGCACCCCCCAAAAUAAGAAUCGCUCACAUGACAAACAGCACAUGAGACUCCAGCCCACAGCACCCCCGAGCUGCGACGCCCCCCCCACCCCCAACCCCUGGCAGCUCCUCCGGAUUCCCAGCCUGCUUUCCUGCGUCCGUCCUGGAGGGUCCUUUGAGACCCGGCCUUGGGGACGGGGUGGUCAGUGGGGUUCGGGCCGAGCUCUGUCUGGUCGUGAGCAGGGAUGCCGGGAGGAAUGAAGUCCACACGGGGUCAGGAAGGGUCUCCGGGCCCGGACAGGCAGGCCCAGCAGGUGGGUCAUGGUGGGUGCAGAGGGGACGGUGGGUGGCCAGCCUCCGUCACACCCCUCGAGCCGUCCCCCACAGCCAGGCCCUGUGCUUGGCUGAGCUCCAGCCAGGAGGGGGCCUCUAUCCACAGGAGGCUUCAUCCCGGGAGCUGGAAAGGAUAAGGUCUUCGGGGAAUUGUUGAGGGCUCCAGAAAAGCACCGAAGGUUCCUCCGUGUGUCCUCGUGGCUGGAGUCCAGAGUCGCCCGGGCUCCAAAGAGAAGACCAGGCCAAGAGUCUUGGAGACACAGCUGGGGCAGAGUGGCCUGGAGGAGACACAGCGAGCUCGGAGGAGGGCACAGCCUCCGUGCCCAGCUCUCCAUACCCCCAGUCUAACCCCACCUCCGAGGGGGGCACCUUCAGAGACCCCAGUCUCCCUCCUGUGCCCCCAACACCUAGACAGGGUGGGGUUGACGGCCUUGGACACUAAAACCUUUUAGAGGAAACUCAGGAAUAGAGAGGAAGCAAUGGAAGCCACGGAUACCCCAUCUCAGCAGGGCUUAUUCAGGGGAUGGAAAAGCUAUAAAGGGAGCCCAGAGCCGACCCCAAGAGCAUCGUGGGCGGAGAGGGAUGGGGGUCAGGCGUAUGCACAGGGCCUUCCGAGUCCUCGGGAGGCCAGGAUCCCUUUAGAACAUUCCCGCUGAGGGAACCUCUGCACCUCCCUCCCCCAACACACAUGCACACACAUGCACACCUCCCAGGACGGGGAGCUCAUUCCCUCGCCGAGACAGCGCUAAAGCACGUUCUUACCUGAAGAUCAGAGAGGGCGGAACCACAUCUCUGGUGUUCACCUCUGGAUCCUCAGCAUCGAGCUGGGAGAAGGUGCUUGGGCUGUGUUUCUGCGGAAUAAAGGAAUGUGGUGAACUCUCUGCCAG
This 2445-nucleotide long non-coding RNA is filed under the name Equus caballus (horse). Its description in RNAcentral is "lncRNA (ENSECAG00000045344.1)". The record is from RNAcentral. Lineage: Eukaryota; Metazoa; Chordata; Mammalia; Perissodactyla; Equidae.